Molecule: ribosomal RNA, 460 nt
Filed under: uncultured bacterium
Lineage: Bacteria
Description: partial 16S ribosomal RNA
Rfam family: Bacterial small subunit ribosomal RNA
Source: RNAcentral
CCUACGGGCGGCAGCAGUGAGGAAUAUUGGUCAAUGGGAGGAAUCCUGAACCAGCCAUGCCGCGUGCAGGACGACGGCUCUACGAGUUGUAAACUGCUUUUGUACCGGGGUAAAAUGCUCUACGAGUAGGGUUUUGAAAGUACGGUACGAAUAAGGAUCGGCUAACUCCGUGCCAGCAGCCGCGGUAAUACGGAGGAUCCGAGCGUUAUCCGGAUUUAUUGGGUUUAAAGGGUGCGUAGGUUGUUUUAUAAGUUAGCGGUGAAAUACCGAUGCUCAACCUUGGGGCUGCCGCUAAUACUGUAGGACUAGAGAUCGGAUGCAGCAGGCGGAAUGUGUAGUGUAGCGGUGAAAUGCAUAGAUAUUACACAGAACACCGAUUGCGAAGGCAGCUUGCUAGGCCGGAUCUGACAUUGAUGCACGAAAGCGUGGGUAUCGAACAGGAUUAGAUACCCUAGUAGUC